CAGCUUCCUCUGCGGAACUUCAUCGCGGGUUCCCCAGGACUGCCCAGGCCUCCCCAGGACUGCACAGGCCUCCCCUGGGCCGGCGGAGCCGCUCUCACCUUCCACACUUCGCCGCCCUCCUGCGCUCAGGCAGCAUUCUGGACACGGGAUGUACAAGCUUCUCCUGUACCUGCAGUUUCUCACGAUAAUCAGCUCACAAUAGUCCUUAUGCCAAAGAGGCAUGUGUGGAGGUGCCAUAUUCUGGUCUCCUACAACAUUCAGUAAUGGUCAAGAUGGUUGAUGCAGGAAACAGAUGGAGGGGCAGAAGUUGAUACUCAUCUCAUUAGAUCCAAAGAAGCCAAAUGGUGGCCAUCACCUGUGACAUGAAGAGGGUAUAUUUUAUGGAACUGGACAGCUUUCAGAAUCACAAGCAACCUCUUCAAAAUGUGAUCUACUGAAACGUGCUUGAAAGAGAGAAUAGGAGUGAGGCGGGCAAAGGAAGCAGAAGCCAUUGUGAACUGCCCUAGAGAAACCUUGGGCAUCUUUUUGUUGGGCAAAGUGGUAGAGGCUGAAACGGGGAAUAGCAUGUAACAUUUUAUUUGACUGAAAUAAACAGCUGUUUGUUUUUUUUUUCUUUCAUAUGUAAGAUAGACAAAAGGUGUUUGACAGAUAAGGAUUGGGGCAAUGUUGGUAUGAGUUCAGCUUUUUAGUUUGUUCUUUAAAAGUGGCCAUCAAGAUGUGGGUGUAAGGUAUUUCACAGUGAUUUGCAUUCAUUCUCAUUGCUGUCACCAUCAAGGCCCAGUUACUCAAUAUCCAAGUUUGUUUUUGUUG
Long non-coding RNA from Homo sapiens (human), 810 nucleotides. The record is from Ensembl. Lineage: Eukaryota; Metazoa; Chordata; Mammalia; Primates; Hominidae.